Molecule: ribosomal RNA, 388 nt
Filed under: Pseudocalanus sp.
Lineage: Eukaryota; Metazoa; Arthropoda; Copepoda; Calanoida; Clausocalanidae
Description: partial small subunit ribosomal RNA
Rfam family: Eukaryotic small subunit ribosomal RNA
Source: RNAcentral
AUUCCAGCUCCAAUAGCGUAUAUUAAAGUUGUUGUGGUUAAAAAGCUCGUAGUUGGAUCUCGGCGGUCUGAGGGCGGUUCGCUUCAGAGCGCUACUGCCCUAUAGACCGUAGUUUUGCCAGAGGUCUCAGGGUGCUCUUAACCGAGUGUCUUGCGAUGCUGGCAGGUUUACUUUGAAAAAAUUAGAGUGCUCAAAGCAGGCUUUUACGCCUGAAUAUUCGUGCAUGGAAUAAUAGAAUAGGACUACGGUCUCGUUGUUGGUUUGAGGGACUGGAGUAAUGAUUAAUAGGGAUAGUUGGGGGCAUUAGUAUUUAAUUGUCAGAGGUGAAAUUCUCAGAUUUGUUAAAGACUAACUUAUGCGAAAGCAUUUGCCAAGGAUGUUUUCAUUG